Ficedula albicollis (Collared flycatcher) is the source of this 519-nucleotide long non-coding RNA. RefSeq lists it as uncharacterized. The transcript has 4 exons. NCBI's taxonomy places the organism in Eukaryota, Metazoa, Chordata, Aves, Passeriformes, Muscicapidae. The record is from RefSeq and is a predicted model, not a curated record.
GAAAGGGAUUGUGGGAAGGCGGAGCUGUACGGAAAAACGCAGUGCGGGUUCUCAGUGUGCGCCGCCAUUGCUGCGACUAACAUGGCGGCGUUGCUUGGCAACGGAGUUGAUUGACAUCUCUCACAGCCAAUCAGCGAGGAGAAAAGAGCGAGGCGGCGCUGCUCAGCCAAUCAAGUGCCGAGUUAGCCGGAAAGGGGCUGGACGUGUGGGUGUUUGUAUGGAAAGAAGCGAAAGCGCCUCGGAGCUGCCGGGGCCGUGAUCAUCGGAAUUAAUUAUCGGGAUUAUCAGCAUUAUCGCGAUCGAGGAGCCCUCCGGGUUUCGCCGGGGAUGUUCCACGGCAUCGCGGGCCCGGCCGCGAUGGGCGCGCCCGGGAAUAAACCGGAGCUUUAUGAGGAGGUGAAGCUCUACAAGAACGCCCGGGAACGGGAGAAGUACGACAACAUGGCCGAGCUCUUUGCCGUGGUGAAAACCCUGCAGGCUCUGGAGAAAGCUUACAUCAAAGAUUGCGUCUCCCCCAAC